Molecule: long non-coding RNA, 872 nt
Filed under: Salmo salar (Atlantic salmon)
Lineage: Eukaryota; Metazoa; Chordata; Actinopteri; Salmoniformes; Salmonidae
Description: lncRNA (ENSSSAG00000122128.1)
Source: RNAcentral
GGGUUAGCUGACAACGUCACAAAAACAAUGCAUACGCCUCAAUGGGGCAGAAGUCUGUGUGUUGUUAUGAUUCUAGAUGGCCAGACUGCUAGUAGCAAUGACAAAAAACUGCCAUGUGGGGAAUUGUUGCUCUGGAAGGGCCUAGUGUGUCCGUCUGUCCGUCCGUCCAUCUGUCUGACCGCGUGUGUGUCUGUGGGAGGUAUGCUGUGCUGUAGCCAGGGCCAACUGCAGCAGGCAUGGUAGGCAUUCCUCCCUGAUGGUCUCCCUCUCCUCCCCUGACGAUCCUUCCACACCUUGCUCCUCAGUGAGACCGGAACCUUCCACUGCCGGCUCACGGGGUGGGCUCCGCUUGACUCAUGGUGUUAUAAGAGGGGUCGUGACCUGGUCGUAUGACUGCUUCCUGUUGUAGUUGAAGAGGUCUUCCGAGACCUGGGGUGAUCACAGGAGAUACUACAUCCGGUGGUUGAGGGCCUGUCACUGUAAAAGACAUACAUCAGUUGAACAGUAGCUGUUCUGGGAUGAAGGGAGAGAGGGAAACAGAGAAAGUGGUGUUAUUUAUUGCUAUGAGGGCCAGAGGGAGAUGGUGAAAGAGAUGAGUUCACUUCAUAUAGAAAAGACUGAAUAUAUUUUUUAAAACACUUUCAUGAACUAACACUCACACUUGACUCCCCAACCCUUUACUAGCUCUGACUUUGCUGAUAGUGCAUUCAUCUUAAGAUAGCUAGCUAACUGUAAGUCCCUCAGGAUACGAGCGUCUGCUAAAUGACUAACAUGUAAAUAUAAGAGCAGAGAACUGGUGGUCAUUUGGGUGUUCUGGAUGAAUGCCAGGAGGACUCUGAUGCUUUUAAAGUUCUGAUACUGCUGUUCUCACA